ACGAGCACGUGUUCAUUCCUUGUUCGAAAGAUCUGGGUAAUCAUGUUAAACUCUGUCGUGCUGGGGAUAGAGCAUUGCAAUUAUUGCUCUUCAACGAGGAAUUCCUAGUAAGCGCAAGUCAUCAGCUUGCGCUGAUUACGU
Molecule: ribosomal RNA, 141 nt
Filed under: uncultured eukaryote
Lineage: Eukaryota
Description: partial 18S ribosomal RNA
Rfam family: Eukaryotic small subunit ribosomal RNA
Source: RNAcentral